Papaver somniferum (opium poppy) is the source of this 1419-nucleotide long non-coding RNA. RefSeq lists it as uncharacterized. The record is from RefSeq and is a predicted model, not a curated record. The transcript has 7 exons. NCBI's taxonomy places the organism in Eukaryota, Viridiplantae, Streptophyta, Magnoliopsida, Ranunculales, Papaveraceae.
UGAAAGUUGGAGAAGAAGGAGUUGCUGAAGAAACGAAACCAAAUCUCAAAAUCUCUUCAAAAUGUUUCAACUAAAAGUCAAAAGCGAACUCCAAUUCGAUCAGAUUACACGAAUUUCUUCAACCAAAUUUCAGCAAAAUCCUAUUUAUUUCUUCAACCAAAUAGAACCAAUUUCUUAAACCAAAUUUCAGUAAAACCCUAAUUUGUUCUUCAGCUUUCUAAUAUGAUGUUUGGGUUUCAACAUGAACAUGUAUAGUUAGAAUUUUAAAACCCUUGUUUCUUCUCUUAGUGGCUCUCUAUCUUCUUCUUUUUUUCUGCAAUUUUUCGUUUUGUUUUUGUUUUAUUCCUUAUCAACAGGUGGAUUGCUAGCGUUUCCCUACACCGAAAUGUUGUUGAAAUUGCCACUGUUAACGAUUGAUGAUUAGGAAAUAAUUAUCUUCUUCAUUUUCUUUGUUUUUCUGUUAUGAUUUUGGGUUGGUGAAUUUUAUUUAUAAAAUAAUUGAUUUUGUGGUACGAAAAUCAGGUUGAAGAACAACAAUCGAGAUGAAAUCAAAUAGACGAAGAUAUGGUGGUCAAAGAAGAAGAGGAAAUUGAAAGAGCAGACAAUUGGCUUACUUCAGCUCCUGAUGCUGCUUUUAAAUGCCAACGUACAAACUCUAGAAGAACCCUGUGCUAAAAUUGCUAAUAUACAACAACUAAUCAUGUAGAAGGUCCAAACGACAGGUGGAGGGAUAAGCAAACGUAGCCUUUGUCUCAGUACUCGUCAAUGCCCAACCGCCACACCGUGUGAUCAUGUCUUCUGCUGGUGUUUAUGCCAACCCUCCAGAAAUGUCAUGCCAUUUGGCUUUCUACAACAUGCAGGUUCUGGACUAUAUGGGUGAUGUUAAACUGGAACGAGCUAAUUAAACUCUACAGGGGUGAAGCAAAGUUGAAAAGGCUGAAGAGUAAAACCGGAAGAAAAAGUCCCAUAUGAACAAUUAAAACCAGGACCAGUGAUAUCUUCAUACUUGAGCCAUUCUCCGCAAGUGGGUCUGUGCGGCUUGUACCUACGUUAGUGGGUUUAUGGUGCAUGACUUAGGAUCUUCAUACAUGAGCUGGAGUUUGAGUCAUUCUAUGCUAGUGGAUCUGCUAUGCGGUAUGGUGACUACUUCAUGCUUCACAACUUUAAGGUACAACAAUGGAAUCCUUCACCUGGAAGUGAAAUACAUGGAUCCUGACAAAAUUGGUGUGUUCAGAUCAGUUGGAUUUUACUGGGUGAAGUCUUUCCUUCAAGUUAGCGUAGCUUUUCUAUUUUUUUUAGCUUGUAAUAGGAAUAUGAAGUUAAUUAAUUCAAGUCUUAAUAUUUGGAAAAAGUAUUUUAGAUGAUUAAAAUUGUAAAUUGUUAGCACUUUUUAAUACGAAUUCAGUUUUAAUAUUAUUA